GCCUUCAUAGCUCAGUGGCACGAGCGCGCCCUUGGUAUGGGCGAGGCCCCGGGUUCGAUCCCCGGUGAAGGCUCCA
RNAcentral lists this transfer RNA (76 nucleotides) under Mycolicibacterium fortuitum. RNAcentral's name for it is "tRNA-Thr". It matches the Rfam family "tRNA". From Rfam's summary of the family: Transfer RNA (tRNA) molecules are approximately 80 nucleotides in length. Their secondary structure includes four short double-helical elements and three loops (D, anti-codon, and T loops). Lineage: Bacteria; Bacillati; Actinomycetota; Actinomycetes; Mycobacteriales; Mycobacteriaceae. The record is from RNAcentral. RNAcentral also lists the same sequence under 2 other names.